This 497-nucleotide ribosomal RNA is filed under the name uncultured bacterium. RNAcentral's name for it is "partial 16S ribosomal RNA". It matches the Rfam family "Bacterial small subunit ribosomal RNA", at positions 28 to 507 of the family's 1533-position model. The record is from RNAcentral.
GAUGAACGCUGGCGGCGUGCCUAAUACAUGCAAGUCGAGCGAACAGAUGAGGAGCUUGCUCCUCUGACGUUAGCGGCGGACGGGUGAGUAACACGUGGAUAACCUACCUAUAAGACUGGGAUAACUUCGGGAAACCGGAGCUAAUACCGGAUAAUAUAUUGAACCGCAUGGUUCAAUAGUGAAAGACGGUUUUGCUGUCACUUAUAGAUGGAUCCGCGCCGCAUUAGCUAGUUGGUAAGGUAACGGCUUACCAAGGCAACGAUGCGUAGCCGACCUGAGAGGGUGAUCGGCCACACUGGAACUGAGACACGGUCCAGACUCCUACGGGAGGCAGCAGUAGGGAAUCUUCCGCAAUGGGCGAAAGCCUGACGGAGCAACGCCGCGUGAGUGAUGAAGGUCUUCGGAUCGUAAAACUCUGUUAUUAGGGAAGAACAAAUGUGUAAGUAACUAUGCACGUCUUGACGGUACCUAAUCAGAAAGCCACGACUAACUACGUG